ACCGGUCCUCGGUAGUGGCCCCCGGGCCGGCCGGCACACAGAUGAUGCUGGCUCCCCCGGGCGCUUCGAUCGAAGACCGGA
Asanoa hainanensis is the source of this 81-nucleotide regulatory RNA element. It matches the Rfam family "Actino-pnp RNA". The record is from Rfam. NCBI's taxonomy places the organism in Bacteria, Bacillati, Actinomycetota, Actinomycetes, Micromonosporales, Micromonosporaceae.